CAUUCGAGUUUCCCGACCAUGAGAUGACUCCACAUGCACUACCAUCUGAGGCCACCCCAUGGGCCCACCUCAGUGGGGAGGGUGGGCGUCCUUAUGAGGCCCUCUGACUGGGCCUGCUAUCUGUCACCCAACAGGUAUGCUGCCCCACAAAACCAAGCGAGGCCAGGCCGCUCUGGACCGUCUCAAGGUGUUUGACGGCAUCCCACCGCCCUACGACAAGAAAAAGCGGAUGGUGGUUCCUGCUGCCCUCAAGGUCGUGCGUCUGAAGCCUACAAGAAAGGUGAGUCCCAGCUUAUGCUGCACCAUCUACUUGGGAGAUUUCAGGCCUGCUGAGGGACCUGGGGACCCGGAGCCUGGCAGAUGAUGUCCUUAUCUCACGAUGGUCUGCGGAUGUCCCUGCGGGAAUG
This 407-nucleotide small RNA is filed under the name Pan troglodytes (chimpanzee). Lineage: Eukaryota; Metazoa; Chordata; Mammalia; Primates; Hominidae. The record is from RNAcentral.